GAGUGCCGAAGUGAUGACGUCAUUUUGUAGGACAACUCGGAAGCUAGCGGCGCAUGGGUUCCCUCGAUCGAAAAGCUAUGCAUUUUCCCCAUAGACUUUUGGAAAAUCGCAAAAAUUCAUAACGUGUAACCCUUACACGUUUUGUCUAUCAAGGUAAUCUUUACAAGUUAAUCCAAAAUUUAUACAUUUUGAAGCCUAUAUAAAGUUUUUAAAAAACACAAGCAGACACAAUAAAGUUUAAAAAACCACAAGCAGGUUAUAACUGUGUGUUCUAUGUCAUAGAUCCAAAACGUGAAAAUAUUUAGAGGCUUUGUUCACCACAGACCUUAUUUCAGGCGAUUUAGCAAAAACCCAUUCAAAAAUCCCAUAGACUUUAGAGCGAGGGAACCGGGAGUGCUAAAAUGCUAACUCACUUCCGCGUUUUGGCCUACAGAGUGACGUC
Molecule: long non-coding RNA, 442 nt
Organism: Rhinichthys klamathensis goyatoka
Lineage: Eukaryota; Metazoa; Chordata; Actinopteri; Cypriniformes; Leuciscidae
Exons: 2
Source: RefSeq, a predicted model, not a curated record